GGAUAGCUCAGUCAGCUGUAGAGCAUGAGACUCGUAAUCUCAGGGUCAUGGGUCCAAGCCCUGCUGGGCA
Non-coding RNA from Podarcis lilfordi (Lilford's wall lizard), 70 nucleotides. The record is from the annotation of a GenBank genome assembly. Lineage: Eukaryota; Metazoa; Chordata; Lepidosauria; Squamata; Lacertidae.